CAUGAAGCUGGCAGAUGAUGUGGACCUGGAACAGUAGCCAAUGAGACUCACGGGCAUGUGGGUGCUGACUUAGCAGCCCUGUGCUCAGAGGCUGCUCUGCAAGCCAUCCGCAAGAAGAUGGAUCUCAUUGACCUAGAGGAUGAGACCAUUGAUGCCGAGGUCAUGAACUCUCUAGCAGUUACUAUGGAUGACUUCCGUGGGCCUUGAGCCAGAGUAACCCAUCAGCACUGCGGGAAACCGUGGUAGAGGUGCCACAGGUAACCUGGGAAGACAUCGGGGGCCUAGAGG
RNAcentral lists this long non-coding RNA (288 nucleotides) under Homo sapiens (human). Its description in RNAcentral is "non-protein coding lnc-FANCG-2:1". The record is from RNAcentral. Lineage: Eukaryota; Metazoa; Chordata; Mammalia; Primates; Hominidae.